Molecule: long non-coding RNA, 728 nt
Organism: Oncorhynchus keta (chum salmon)
Lineage: Eukaryota; Metazoa; Chordata; Actinopteri; Salmoniformes; Salmonidae
Exons: 3
Source: RefSeq, a predicted model, not a curated record
UGGUGAAAUAAUUGUAAUGUUCAAGGUCAGAUUUGAAUGGAGAAAGCUGAUCCAUUGUCAGUUUGGUGAAAUAAUUGUAAUGUUCAAGGUCAGAUUUGAAUGGAGAAAGCUGAUCCAUUGUCAGUUUGGUGAAAUAAUUCUAAUGUUCAAGGUCAGAUUUGAAUGGAGAAAGCUGAUCCAUUGUCAGUUUGGUGAAAUAAUUCUAAUGUUCAAGGUCAGAUUUGAAUGGAGAAAGCUGAUCCAUUGUCAGUUUGGUGAAAUAAUUAUAAUGUUCAAGGUCAGAUUUGAAUGGAGAAAGCUGAUCCAUUGUCAGUUUGGUGAAAUAAUUGUAAUGUUCAAGGUCAGAUUUGAAUGGAGAAAGCUGAUCUGAGAGCUCCCUUUGUUUCCAUCCUAUCAGUAUCAACACUACGCCUCAACAACCUUAGUGAACCUUCUCUCAGUGUGGUGUUCUGGGAAAACACACGUUACAUCUUCGGGCCGUUGUCGGAACGAGGCAUCGUUAAAGAAACAACAGUCAGAAGUCUAAGUUUCCAUCGCUGUCGGGAAACUGGACCCAGAACAGCAAAUCUGAAAGGUAACGGGUGGCCUCAGGGUUAGAAACCGUGCCAAAGAAAUAAAACACCUGCGAGGGAUAAACAAACACACCCCACACCCGAAUCCCCCCUCCACACACACACACACACACACUCACACACACACACACACACACACACACACACACACACACA